GGUGUGUGUGUGUGCGCGCGCGGGCGUGUGAAUAUUCAUGGAAAGUUGGUGCAGAAAAGUACUUCGGCUUACUUCCCCAAACUGUGAAAAUGCCUUCUUCAAACUUCCCUCAGAUGUCGAUAAUGCCAAUCCUUUAAUGAAGACUAACGUCGAAGGAGGUUGAGGGAAUUCAGUUGAAGAGCUGUGGCUGCGGGCAGAGCAAUUGAUUUGGAGCGAUGGGUAUCGUUCAUCAAUUGAAAUGGAACAUGAGACUGAGAAUACAAUAGGAACUAAGGUUGUGGGGAAUAGCGGUUUCGGUAUUGGAAGGAGAGCGCGAGGUGAGGGAAGAGCAGAUGAAGAUUGAGGUGAAAAGAACUUUGCCAUCCAAAAACCGCAAGGCCAAAACCCGCCAGACCUGAGAGCCGAAACC
This 409-nucleotide unclassified non-coding RNA is filed under the name Hevea brasiliensis (rubber tree). Lineage: Eukaryota; Viridiplantae; Streptophyta; Magnoliopsida; Malpighiales; Euphorbiaceae. The record is from RNAcentral.